Non-coding RNA from Vicugna pacos (alpaca), 587 nucleotides. NCBI's taxonomy places the organism in Eukaryota, Metazoa, Chordata, Mammalia, Artiodactyla, Camelidae. The record is from RefSeq and is a predicted model, not a curated record.
UUUAUAUGGGGAUGGAAUUGUAAUGAGACCAGAGGCAGAACAAGAAAACACACAACUGAGAACUUUUUUCCUCCUAGUAAAGGAAGCAAUGAGACAGACAUGGGCCAAAAUUAAGAGCUGAUUGAGUUGCUGAAGGUCGCUGCAAGCCUUUGCAAAACUUUGUAACAAAUUCUAUUUUCUUCAAGUUUAAGUUUCCUUCAGACUUUUCUUUCUUUCUUUCUUUUCUUUUUUUUUUUUUUUUACCCUGUAGUGGCUCCAAGUAGAAAGUAAACAACAAAGGAGAGUUCAAAGCAAUUACAAAAUACUGUAGGAUUAACCUGGUACCACCCAGCAGUAUGGAUAAGAGAGCCUGCAGUGGAAACCAGCACUCAGCCUGAACCUGGAGAUUCAAGGACUCUGCCUAAAGGCAGCUCCGGGAUGAAGACAGAGUUGAGGACUCUGCCAGCUUCCUCAGAGCACACAGACUUCAGAAAGGAGGACCUAUGAUAAAUUCAAAGAGCCAUCAGGAAUACCCUGGACACAGGUCCCCAAACUAGCCCUGACUAAGUAGGUUGAGCAAGGCAUAAGAAGACAGGUUAAAAAAAAAA